RNAcentral lists this ribosomal RNA (329 nucleotides) under uncultured eukaryote. Its description in RNAcentral is "partial 18S ribosomal RNA". It matches the Rfam family "Eukaryotic small subunit ribosomal RNA", at positions 1470 to 1796 of the family's 1831-position model. The record is from RNAcentral.
CCCUUAGAUGUUCUGGGCCGCACGCGCGCUACACUGAUGCAUUCAACGAGUCUAAAACCUGCUCUGAUAGGGGUGGGUAAUCUUUUGAAUGUGCAUCGUGAUUGGGAUAGAUGAUUGCAAUUUUUCAUCUUCAACGAGGAAUGCCUAGUAAACGCAAGUCAUCAGCUUGCAUUGAUUACGUCCCUGCCCUUUGUACACACCGCCCGUCGCUCCUACCGAUUGAAUGAUCCGAUGAAUAUCAUGGAUUGAGGAUGCAAGUAGGUUCGCCUAUCUUCAUCUUCGAGAAGUGAAGUAAAUCUUAUCAUCUAGAGGAAGUAAAAGUCGUAACA